ACGUAGGUGGCAAGCGUUGUCCGGAUUUAUUGGGUUUAAAGGGUGCGUAGGCGGCCAAUUAAGUCAGUGCUGAGAUAUUCCGGCUUAACCGGGAGGGUGGCAUUGAUACUGAUGGGCUAGAGUACAGAUGAGGUAGGCGGAAUUGACGGUGUAGCGGUGAAAUGCUUAGAUAUCGUCAAGAACACCUAUAGCGAAGGCAGCUUACUAGGCUGUAACUGACGCUGAGGCACGAAAGUGUGGGGAUCAAACAGGA
This 253-nucleotide ribosomal RNA is filed under the name uncultured prokaryote. RNAcentral describes it as "partial 16S ribosomal RNA". It matches the Rfam family "Bacterial small subunit ribosomal RNA", at positions 525 to 777 of the family's 1533-position model. The record is from RNAcentral.